Molecule: long non-coding RNA, 354 nt
Filed under: Penaeus japonicus
Lineage: Eukaryota; Metazoa; Arthropoda; Malacostraca; Decapoda; Penaeidae
Description: uncharacterized LOC122262226
Source: RNAcentral
GUGGUAGUGAACGGACGUGUUAUACGGAAGCUGCGCGCGGUAUCGUCUCUUGUCAUACUAUCUGGGAAAACUUUUUUUGUUUUUUUCUGUCGCGUGGCUCAAGUAACUUCAUCGUUGUUAUUAUCAUUUAUUUCCCUUUUUCUUCCUCUUCAAUUAUUCUCUCUUUCGAGUGCGAGUCCGACCCCGUCCACUAAACAAGGUGCUAUGUUAGUGAAGGGACGAUUAUCAUUGCAUUUGUCAGCAUUGAUUGCUACUAGAUCUGCACGCGUAUUUUGAGGUUUUCUGAUCUGUGACAGUGUACCUACUCGUGUGAAAAUAAAAGCAGUUGAAAUAUAAAAAAAAGAAGGUUAGAAA